RNAcentral lists this ribosomal RNA (481 nucleotides) under uncultured bacterium. RNAcentral's name for it is "bacterial SSU rRNA". It matches the Rfam family "Bacterial small subunit ribosomal RNA", at positions 45 to 507 of the family's 1533-position model. The record is from RNAcentral.
UGCCUAACACAUGCAAGUCGAAACGGAGAUUAUUUCGGUAAUCUUAGUGGCGAACGGGUGAGUAACGCGUAGGCAACCUGCCCUUUAGUUGGGGACAACAUCCCGAAAGGGUGCUAAUACCGAAUGUGAUCGCUUUUCCGCAUGGAAGAGCGAUGAAAGAUGGCCUCUAUUUAUAAGCUAUCGCUAAAGGAUGGGCCUGCGUCUGAUUAGCUAGUUGGUGGGGUAACGGCCUACCAAGGCGAUGAUCAGUAGCCGGUCUGAGAGGAUGAACGGCCACAUUGGGACUGAGACACGGCCCAGACUCCUACGGGAGGCAGCAGUGGGGAAUCUUCCGCAAUGGGCGAAAGCCUGACGGAGCAAUGCCGCGUGAGUGAUGAAGGAAUUCGUUCCGUAAAGCUCUUUUGUUUAUGACGAAUAUGCAGACUGUGAAUAAUGGUUUGUAAUGACGGUAGUAAACGAAUAAGCCACGGCUAACUACGUG